GGGUGAGCAGCAGAGCAAGUAUUGUACCUGGGAGUAACCACCGGAGCUUGCUGAGCAUCUGUCCCUCUGGGUAAAUCCUGACACUGGCCAGCAUGUUUCCAGAACAGUUAUUGGAAAGAAAACAAGUAUUCUGUCUGAAGGCAAGUUCUUGGCCUUCCAGUGAGAGCUGACCUGUGGUUAAGGGAUUCCAGUGCUUAAG
Molecule: long non-coding RNA, 199 nt
Organism: Oxyura jamaicensis (ruddy duck)
Lineage: Eukaryota; Metazoa; Chordata; Aves; Anseriformes; Anatidae
Exons: 2
Source: RefSeq, a predicted model, not a curated record